CAUUAUACAUUGACUCGCUGAUGACACCAUCAGGGCUCAGGUAGAGGCAUUUUCAAUCCGCUCCAAAUCUCUCCCCCCUUCUAGGAUGCUUCCAAGACCCCAUCCAGCGGGCACAGGCAGGGAGAGACGUUGCUAGGGAAAAGGGAUCAUUGCCAAGUUCUGGCCCACAGCAGCAUAUGCUUCACGGUGACAAUGUAAUCCCCAUGCGCCAAGCCAAGAGAUCUUGUGUGGUGACCUGGGUGUUUCUCCACGGCUCUUUGUGAGACAACAGCCAUCAAGGCUCUGUAUCCUAGAGAAGCUGGUCUAAGACACAUCUAGGCAGACUGCCUUCUCACUAUGGAAGGUGGAGCUUCCUACAGGCUGAACUUGGAAGUGAGGAUCUACAGCUGGAUGUAAGAAAUCUCGUGAGUGGUUAGUGGCCAUGCUGUCUGCCACCUAAAUAAGGUCAGCCUGUGGCACGAAAGAAGAAUUCUGCCAACACGCCGAGAGAAACCGAGGCAGGAGCUACUGAAAGAGACUUGCUGGGUGUCCCAGGCAUGGCUCCUGAGUUCCUUAAGCUCAGCUGCUCUUUUACCCUCCUUGGGGUUUACUUGGUCUAGGUGCUUAUCUACUACCUCCCAUUAAACGCCCCCUGUUACCCAAUGCCAUCCUAAUGGCGUCUCUGUCAUGGGCCACCAAAGGAAGCCCAGUGAGCACAGUGUAUUCCCACUGACGAGAGUGGAAUGUAGAAGUGGGAAGAGGCUGGGUUUGGGAGGCCUACAGGCCUGGGCAUGAGCCCUGAACUCCAUGGCAAGGAGUUUAACCUCUCUGUGCCUCAGUUUCCAGAUCUAAGAAAUCAGGAGAACACCACCAUCUUUCAAGGCUUGGAGUCUUUGACAUGUUGGAAGUUCCAGAUUUCUGUAACACAGUGGGAUCAAAGCCUUGAAGCUCUUCUGCGUACGUCACCGUCAUGAGCCGAGGAGAGACCUUUGAAAAAGACAACAGAUAGCUCCCUUUCACACACACCAUGUUAGCACAGUACUUGGUGUCCACACGCCAUGAUCAUAAGGCCAGAAUCAUCUCGAAGAUUGAAGAUGGCAAGUUCUUUGACACACUGCCCAUCCAGAGGCGAAGUCUACGUCCCAUCCCCUUGAAUCUGAGUGGGCUCUAUUUCCACUCUGAAAGAAUAUGGCAGAAGUGACACUGUGCCGGUUCCCAAAGCCAGGCCUUAUGAAGCUGGCAGUUCCCAUCCUCUGUCAUUCGGAACACUGUCUCUGGGAGCAUUGGACUUCAAACCCUCAAGCCACCAUGCUGAUGCAGCCCGAUGUAGGUGCUCCAGCUCAGAGUUCCACCUGAGCCCAGCCUUCGAGGCAUCUCUCCAGCCAAGGCCCCGUACGUUGGGUGAAACCAUCUUCUACCCUCCAGGUCAACUCAUCGCUGGUUGAAUCCCACAAGUGACCUUACUCCACACGAUGCCAUAUGGAGCAGAAGAAUCACUCAGCUGAGCCCUGCCCGAGUUCCUAACCCACAAAAUUAUAAAUUAUAAUAAAAUGGUUGUUAUUUUAA
Long non-coding RNA from Prionailurus viverrinus (fishing cat), 1545 nucleotides. RefSeq lists it as uncharacterized. The transcript has 5 exons. The record is from RefSeq and is a predicted model, not a curated record. NCBI's taxonomy places the organism in Eukaryota, Metazoa, Chordata, Mammalia, Carnivora, Felidae.